Molecule: unclassified non-coding RNA, 557 nt
Filed under: Madia sp. 1163
Lineage: Eukaryota; Viridiplantae; Streptophyta; Magnoliopsida; Asterales; Asteraceae
Description: partial contains external transcribed spacer and 18S ribosomal RNA
Rfam family: Eukaryotic small subunit ribosomal RNA (bases 505-557)
Source: RNAcentral
CAACUUCCACCUGGCUUACCUCCUCAGUUGUCUGCCAAGGCUCUAUUGUCUUGGUGGAUUGUGGGUUUCCUGUGUUGCCUACCUAAUUAAUGGCAUUGCGUUGGUUGAUCGUGGUCCCUUUUCUUCUAGUGUCAUAACCAUGACAUUUGAUGAACCCUGAAGUGGUCUCUUUGGUCCACCUUAUCAACAAAAUGUUGAUUUUGUGGUUCAAUGAGCAUCGUUUGGUCUCUUGGAUACAGAACAUUAUGUGAGCAUGGGGUCUCAUGUGUUCUUUGUUUCGCUUUCACUCAGCUGACCGCUUCUCGUAAAAUGAUUGCCUCGCCCAGAAUGUGCACCGUUCCCCUGGGGUGGUAUGAUUUCGGGAAAUGCUCCCUGUUUGAUGCGUUCAUGGUCUAUCAUGUGAUCCCUCUUCUGCUCUCAUUUAGCGUUCGCGCUUCUCUUGAAAUGACGGCCUCACUCGCCAAGGCUUGUACUAGCGGUUGAGGCCAUGUCAAAGAGGAUUGCUACCUGGUUGAUCCUGCCAGUAGUCAUAUGCUUGUCUCAAAGAUUAAGCCAUG